UACGUAGGGAGCAAGCGUUGUCCGGAAUCAUUGGGCGUAAAGCGCGCGUAGGUGGCCAUGUAAGUCCGCUGUGAAAGUCAAAGGCUCAACCUUUGAAAGCCGGUGGAUACUGCAUGGCUAGAGUACGGAAGAGGCGAGUGGAAUUCCUGGUGUAGCGGUGGAAUGCGCAGAUAUCAGGAAGAACACCAAUGGCGAAGGCAGCUCUCUGGGACGGUACUGACGCUGAGACGCGAAAGCGUGGGGAGCAAACAGG
RNAcentral lists this ribosomal RNA (253 nucleotides) under uncultured bacterium. RNAcentral's name for it is "partial 16S ribosomal RNA". It matches the Rfam family "Bacterial small subunit ribosomal RNA", at positions 524 to 776 of the family's 1533-position model. The record is from RNAcentral.